GGACUUACUCUUCGGAGUGAGAGCGUACACAGGUGCUGCAUGGCUGUCGUCAGCUCGUGUCGUGAGAUGUUGGGUUAAGUCCCGCAACGAGCGCAACCCUGCAUUCAGUUGCCAUCGGUAAGGCCGGGCACUCUGGAUGGACUGCCGGCGACAAGCCGGAGGAAGGUGGGGACGACGUCAAGUCAUCAUGGCCCUUAUGUCCAGGGCGACACACGUGCUACAAUGGCCGGCACAACGGGAAGCGAAGGGGCGACCCUGAGCGGAUCCCACAAAAGCCGGUCCCAGUUCGGAUUGCAGUCUGCAACUCGACUGCAUGAAGUUGGAAUCGCUAGUAAUCGUGGAUCAGCCAAGCCGCGGUGAAUACGUUCCCGGGCCUU
Molecule: ribosomal RNA, 377 nt
Filed under: uncultured Thermovirga sp.
Lineage: Bacteria; Thermotogati; Synergistota; Synergistia; Synergistales; Thermovirgaceae
Description: bacterial SSU rRNA
Rfam family: Bacterial small subunit ribosomal RNA
Source: RNAcentral